UAUAAAUAACUUUGGGAACAUAUUAUACACUGGUCUUUGCUUUGCACCUAACUAUAUGUUUUAAACAUCCUUCCACAUCAUUUUAUAGCAGCUGGUCUCAUCCUUUUUUCUUUUCUUUUUUUUCUUUAAUUUUUUAAAAAUGUCUAUUUAUUUAUUUUUGAGAGAGAGAUGGUGAACAGGGGAGGGGCAGAGAGAGAGGGAGACAGAAUCCCAAGCAGGCUCCGUGCUGCCGGCACAGAGCCUGAACUUGAAGCCACCAACCGUGAGAUCAUAACCUGAGCCAAAACCAAGAGUUGCAUGCCCAACUGACUGAGCCACCCAGCCGCCCCCUUUUCUUCUUCUUUUUUAAAGCAGGCGGGCAAUUUGGCUAACCUCGAAUUGCAGACUGCCUCCACAGGGGUGAGUGACAACUGGAACAUCGGCUCACUCUGCUUAGCUUUAGCCCUGAAUACAAGCGUUCUGCUAGAGAUGCGAGCAGAGCUCAUACAGAGAAUUUGGGGCUCCCCUCCUCUCGAUGUUCCUCUUCCAGGACUCCCGACUCAACACCCCGGGGCUGUGUUUGCACACCCCCCUGUCCUCUGGCUCUUCCGGCAGGUAAAAUCAGGUGUCCUGGCAGAGUUUGGGCCACCGUCUCUCGGCACAGAUUUGCCACACCUAUGAAAACGGGACACUCACCAUGGACGUGUCCCUUUCUUCCAAGUGACGACAUCCCUCUGGCACCUCCCUGUGUUGGGUUGUUCCCCAGUGUCUUCAGACAGUUUGAGUUUGUAUGGGGAGUGGGGUUUGCGUUUUGUCCAGUUGAAUGUUAUUGUCUGCACAGGAUCCAUCUGGGAGGAGAUCCGCAGCCAUGACUGGGAGCGGAAUUUUGCCUCACUCUUUAACUGCCACAUUUCACCUUCCAGACACCCCUGCAAGAAAGGUGUCAUUCUGCCUCCUGUCUGCAGAGCAGUAGGUGAUACGGGCCCAUCGGACCCCAAAUCAUUUGAGCAUUUGGGAAUGGCCUCUGUUUUGGCUUUGUUUGUUUGUUUGUUUUUCCUGUUUGUUUUGAAAUAAAAACACUUUCACUAUGACCUUGGAAACGUCACUUAACCUCAGUUCUCAUUUGUAAAUCUGAAUAAUCAUGAGACUUUCCUCACAAGGCAGUCCCGAAGGGCAAUGAAAUGGGCAACCGUGGCCGAUGUUUAUAUGCGGUACUUCGAGCAGGGACCGCCCUCAGGGGCUUUAUUCCUUGCAACGGCCUAUGAAUGAGGUAUUAUUAUCAUCAGCUCCAUUUGACGGUGAGGAGACUGGGGCACGGUGAGCUUACGCGACUCGCUCCGUGCCCUCCUGCAGGCAGUGGCGGAGCCCGGCUUCGGCCAGAGGCUGUGGCGUCUGCAUCCGGGAGCUCAGCCACGUGCCCCUGGAACGGGGGUCUUAAUCCUGCGUGCGUCAGACUCACGUGCCAGUCCUGCAAAUAUCUGCUGAGUCAGACUCCCCAGCCUCCGCGUUUGCAAUCAACCUCCAUGCCUCGGCACGGUCGGUGCUGGAACACAGGCAUUCCCCACGCUGGCUUCCUUCUCCUGACUCACUGGCUCUUCACCAAGUUCUAGGACUGGACUAUUAGGGUUGCCUCUGACCCAUUCCUGACACAUCUAUGUCACCAGCCCGCAUGUCAGGAGGAACAGGUUCUAGCUGCCUCAGGGGGAAACAGCCGUCCUGGGAUCAUCCUUCUCCACCUGUCUGAAGCCAUACCCGGUCAUGUGACCAGUGCGAGAGAUACUGUGAGCCACGGUGGAUGUGUCACCCAACGUCUCGGUCUUUUAAGUAAACUACACCUGACAACACCGUGUUAUCCCGCGCUCCUUCAGUUUCCUGGAAACUCCCAGGAUGUUUCAGAAGGCAGAGUUCAGCUGUAACUUGGAUGGUGUUUACUUUAUCUCUCUAACACUAGGAGAGCGAACGCUCUGCCCGUCACCGUCCCUGCUGUGUCCUGAAUGCUAGAAGCCAGCCAGGAACCACGUCUAGAACACUCCAAAGGUACUAUUUUAACUCUGUUUCACAAGUCAAGAAACCAAGAUCAGCUACAGAAUUUGAGGGACUCGGAGCAAAAUGAAGACGACAAAUGAAAAUUAUGAGGAAUAUCAAGAUGAUGACAGCAGAGCAUUGCACCAGGCACAAUCACAUAGGACCCAUGAAACGGGCCCUGGAGGAAACCAAGGGCCAGAGAAGUUAAGUUACUUUCCCAAGGUCACACAGCAAGUUUUGGAGCCUCUAAAAAUCCUUUAUUUAUUGUAAACUCCCUGCAGGCAGGGGCUUUGAGGUCACUGGUGGCAUGUUCUGAUCCCGGGUCCUCAGGUCUCCACGAGUUUGAUGGCCAAGUCCCCUUUCUGAUUGUUUCUGAACGCAAGAAAACAAGAACCAAAUUAUAAACGUAUAAGCUAAACACGAGUUUUAUUUACAGUUAUGGCAUUCAGUGCUGCAAAAGAGUUUAAGGAGCUAACCUAUUUUUUGUUUCUAUGAAAGAGACUUCAUUUUUUCUGUGAGAUUCUUUGCUGGUGAUGGGAAGAAAGGAGAGAUAAAAUCUCAGGGGCACAUCAGUGCAUUAAUCAUGGUCCUAAUCUCAUGACCUCUUAUUAUUAUUAUUAUGCCCUUUUAGUUUAACUAUUCUUUGUUUAUUUUCAGUGCAGUAACGAUUACCUCUGAACUCACCCAAGAACUAGCUUAUUGCUGAUAAUUCAUAUCUCCUCUGGGCUCCUUACCCGUAUCAUUUUCCCAUCUCAGACGUGAUCACUGUCCCGAAUGUCACAUGUCCUGGUUGCUAGUUUUCAGAUGUGUUACAUUUGCAUGCCUAGCUAAAUGAUGUAUUGUCUGCUUAAAAGCAAAUUCAUAGAAAGGGUAUUUUGAAAUUCAUAGAAAGGGUAUUUUAUGCCAUCUUCUGAGGCUUGCUUUUUUGACUCAAGAAUAGCUGAAAAGAGUCCAUCGCUGUGUCGUUACACAGACUGGUAUUUUAUUUAUUUUCACUAGUAUAGAACAUUCCAUUAUCUGGACAGACUGUAAUGUAGUUAUCCAUUGCCCUCUCAUGGGCAUUCAGGCUGUUUCAGAUUUUUGCUAUUAAAAAGAGAGCUUCCGGGGCGCCUGGGUGGCUCAGUCGGUUGAGCGUCCGACUUUGGCUCAGGUCAUGAUCUCACAGCUUGUGAGUUCAGGCCCCGCAUCGGGCUCUGUGCUGACAGCUUGGAGCAUUCUGUCUCUGUCUGUCUCAAAAAUAAAUAAACAUUUAAAAAAAAAAAAGAGAGAGAGCUUCCAUGAAAUUCUCAUGUAAGUACAUGAGUCAAAUUUUGCCUUGGUUAUAUACCCAGGAGUGCAAUUGCUGAUUCAUAGGGUAUAGUAAUGUAUAGUAAUGCUAAAAUUUGCAAGAGAAUGCCAAAUCACUUCCCAAAAUUACUGCUCCGAAGUAUACCCCCCGGUGAUCAUAGGGGAUCCCACUGAUCUCCAUCUCCCGCAUAUGGUAUUGUCAACUUUUAUAAUUUUUCCAGUUGAAUGAGUGUUGAAUGAAUAAAUGAUCGACUAAUGGAGAUACUAUAGAUUGUUCAGAAAAAAUAAGUUCCUAUGGUCAAUCAAUAACCUUUAACUUUCGGUCAAUCAAUAAAUUAAGCAAAUUAAGUGUGCUUUAAAAUGUUGCCAAGAAGACAAAAUGAAAAAUUUCAAGUAAACUGUUGCAAAAAUCUUACGAAAAGUACAAUCAUUCCAUCUGUUAGGAAAUGCCAUAAAAUAUAAAUAGUUAAAAAAACAAAAGAUAGGGGCGCCUGGGUGGCCCAGUUGGUUAAGCCUCUGACUUCGGCUCAGGUCAUGGUCUCUCAGUUAGUGGGUUCCAGCCCUGCAUUGGGCUCUGUGCUGAC
Long non-coding RNA from Neofelis nebulosa (Clouded leopard), 3875 nucleotides. RefSeq lists it as uncharacterized. NCBI's taxonomy places the organism in Eukaryota, Metazoa, Chordata, Mammalia, Carnivora, Felidae. The record is from RefSeq and is a predicted model, not a curated record. The transcript has 3 exons.